UGUCCCCCUAACUUGCUAUUCUCUUCACCCUUACCGUGAGUGAUGUUCAUUGAACCUAGACAUGUUUGACAGCACCCAUUUUCAUCCGUCUUUUCAUUCUUCCCCUCUCAUUAUUGCACCUCCCUAAAGCUGCACCCCAUUCUCUCCUUUUCUUUCUUUUGUUUAGUCAUCAACCACCCAUUUUCUCUUUAAUUCCUCCUCUCCUCCACCCUUCUUUGGUUUUGAACCACCUUCACCACCACCGAACCUCUAUUGCACCACCACUUUUCUUCUUCUUUUAGUUCUACCGCGGCCUUUAACGCCGCCCUUCACCACAGUGACAACCACUGCGCGCCACUGCGAAACAUCUCCCUUUUUCUUUAUUUUUUUCUUCUCUCUUCUCUUUUCUCCUUCUUUUAUCUAGUGACCAAAACCCUCUUCAUUUCUUUCUCCUCCGCCAGACUGUCGCCUCCGUCGACAGACCACCGCCGUCGCCGUCGUAGCAUCAACGCUGAUGAUCGUUCAAUUUUCUUGGAUCGAAAUCAAGAUGAUCCACCGACCUUUCCUUUUUCAACCGAAAUAGAAGGGGCUGAUCGACGUCAACCCAAGAAAUCGCUAACUGUUUGGAUUAAACCGGUAAUCCAAUAGAUCUUUUAAGGGAAAGUGUUAAUAAUAAUCAAUAAUCAAUUUAUUGUAUUAACUCUUAAGACGAUAGUCUUAACUUAAGAUCAUCAUUUGUUACUCGAUUAGGUAAUCUAAUUGUAGAUCCACAUGUGGGGGUUUUGAGAGAUUUAUUGCAUAUCGAAUCUACGAUUAGGUGUGAGUUUUAACACUAAAUAAAUUAAGACUAUUAUUAUAUUGAUAAAAAUGUUGCUAUUAAAAUAAUGUUGUUUGAUGGGGAUACUAUCUGUAUCCAUAAAGUGAGAUAAGUCAUCCUUAUGGAUUUUUAUCAAGUAAGUGUUUUUCUUAAACCGUAUACUUAUGAAAAACAUGUUGUGUGAUAUUGAUGUUUGAUAAUAAUAUGAAAAAUAUGUACAUCUUAUUCUCAUGUUAUGUGAUUAUAUGGCAUAUGUGAUAUUUGUAUGAAAAUAAGAUGUGAAAUUUUGGUACCUUGAGUAUGUAUGUGAUUUGCAUGCUAAACAUGCCUAUAUGAUUUCAAGUGUUUUGGUCAUAUCAUAUGCAAGGGGUGGGAUAUGUGAAAGGUGGAAGUAUAUGGCAGUUUAUCUGCAUUAAUGUGACACUGUUCACGAUUCUACGACUCUGGUGGCUUGUCCACAAUUUUGUUUAUAUAACAGUUUAUUUGUGUUACUGUGACACUAUUCACAAUUUGGUGUGUUGGUUGGACGAGUUCUGGGUAAACUCGAUUAUGGUGUGUAGCGGAGAUAGGUAGGAUCGUUUUCCUAAAAUCUGCAUUGUUUUACGAAUUAUGCAUUGACAUGAUCAUGCAUGAUAUGCUUAUGAAAUAUUGAGAUAUGUGAUUUUAUUACUUUGUAUCGUAUAUGUUUUAUGUUGUGAAUGAGUUUGUGUUAAUCCCACACUAGGCUUAAAAAGCUCACCCAUUAGUGUUUCAACCUUUUAGGUAACACUCAAACAUAGGACUUGGAUCAGCACUUGGUGAAGCCUCUCAAAAUUUACAUCAUGGAUAUUUAUUGGAUUUUUAACUAUUUGGAUUUUGGGUUGUGUUUUUGUGGACUUUAGACUUUACCUUUAUUUUGGUUGUGAUUUAUAUUUUUAUGACUUUAAAACUAUCAUGCAUGCAUGCAAAAUUAUGAGAUUUUAAGCAUUUUAAAUAAUGUCA
Molecule: long non-coding RNA, 1777 nt
Organism: Gossypium raimondii (Peruvian cotton)
Lineage: Eukaryota; Viridiplantae; Streptophyta; Magnoliopsida; Malvales; Malvaceae
Exons: 3
Source: RefSeq, a predicted model, not a curated record